RNAcentral lists this ribosomal RNA (372 nucleotides) under uncultured organism. Its description in RNAcentral is "bacterial SSU rRNA". It matches the Rfam family "Bacterial small subunit ribosomal RNA", at positions 525 to 896 of the family's 1533-position model. The record is from RNAcentral.
CGGUAGGGUGCGAGCGUUAAUCGGAAUUACUGGGCGUAAAGCGUGCGCAGGCGGUUUUGUAAGACAGGCGUGAAAUCCCCGGGCUCAACCUGGGAACUGCGCUUGUGACUGCAAGGCUAGAGUACGGCAGAGGGGGGUGGAAUUCCACGUGUAGCAGUGAAAUGCGUAGAGAUGUGGAGGAACACCAAUGGCGAAGGCAGCCCCCUGGGUCGAUACUGACGCUCAUGCACGAAAGCGUGGGUAGCAAACAGGAUUAGAUACCCUGGUAGUCCACGCCUAAACGAUGUCAACUAGGUGUUGGGUGGGUAAAACCAUUUAGUACCGGAGCUAACGCGUGAAGUUGACCGCCUGGGGAGUACGGCCGCAAGGUUA